RNAcentral lists this unclassified non-coding RNA (279 nucleotides) under plant metagenome. RNAcentral describes it as "partial contains small subunit ribosomal RNA, internal transcribed spacer 1, and 5.8S ribosomal RNA". The record is from RNAcentral.
UUUCCGUAGGUGAACCUGCGGAAGGAUCAUUAUUGAAUAAUCGAGCUCCGAUGUCUGUCGCUGACCCGAUAGGUCGUGCACGCCCGAGUGCUCUCACACACAUCCUUCUCACUUCUAUGUGCACUACCGCGCUGCUUCCUCUCUGCUUUGUUCCUAGGCGGGCUUACUUUUUAAAACAAACCUUGUAUGCACUGUAAAAUGUAUUUUUCUUUUUUGUGACCACGCUAACAAUCCAACUAUCAACAACGAAUCCAUUGGCUCUCGCAUCGAUCUCAACCC